Molecule: ribosomal RNA, 433 nt
Filed under: uncultured bacterium
Lineage: Bacteria
Description: partial 16S ribosomal RNA
Rfam family: Bacterial small subunit ribosomal RNA
Source: RNAcentral
AACGAACGCUGGCGGCAUGCCUAACACAUGCAAGUCGAACGAGACCUUCGGGUCUAGUGGCGCACGGGUGCGUAACGCGUGGGAACCUGCCCUUAGGUUCGGAAUAACUCCCCGAAAGGGGUGCUAAUACCGGAUAAUGUCUUCGGACCAAAGAUUUAUCGCCUUUGGAUGGGCCCGCGUUGGAUUAGCUAGUUGGUAGGGUAAAAGCCUACCAAGGCGACGAUCCAUAGCUGGUCUGAGAGGAUGAUCAGCCACACUGGGACUGAGACACGGCCCAGACUCCUACGGGAAGCAGCAGUGGGGAAUAUUGGACAAUGGGCGAAAGCCUGAUCCAGCAAUGCCGCGUGAGUGAUGAAGGCCUUAGGGUUGUAAAGCUCUUUUAACCGGGAUGAUAAUGACAGUACCGAGAGAAUAAGCUCCGGCUAACUCCGUG